Molecule: ribosomal RNA, 254 nt
Filed under: uncultured Enterobacteriaceae bacterium
Lineage: Bacteria; Pseudomonadati; Pseudomonadota; Gammaproteobacteria; Enterobacterales; Enterobacteriaceae
Description: partial 16S ribosomal RNA
Rfam family: Bacterial small subunit ribosomal RNA
Source: RNAcentral
UACGGAGGGUGCAAGCGUUAAUCGGAAUUACUGGGCGUAAAGCGCACGCAGGCGGUCUGCCAAGUCGGAUGUGAAAUCCCCGGGCUUAACCUGGGAACUGCAUCCGAAACUGGCAGGCUAGAGUCUUGUAGAGGGGGGGUAGAAUUCCAUGUGUAGCGGUGAAAUGCGUAGAGAUGUGGAGGAAUACCGGUGGCGAAGGCGGCCCCCUGGACCUGUACUGACGCUCAUGCACGAAAGCGUGGGGAGCAAACAGG